Molecule: ribosomal RNA, 585 nt
Filed under: Triticum aestivum (bread wheat)
Lineage: Eukaryota; Viridiplantae; Streptophyta; Magnoliopsida; Poales; Poaceae
Description: partial small subunit ribosomal RNA
Source: RNAcentral
AUGAUAGACAUUCACUACCAUGACAUGGAGAAAAAAAUUAACCGCCAGGAGGACCAUACUCUGUGGGAAUUUUGCCCGCUGCCAGAAAAGCUUAUCAAGUAUGCAGCAAUAGAUGCAUUCGCAACAUAUGUGUCAUGGAGAAUCAUCUACGAUGUCAUAAUGGGACUAGACAGGGCAAAAAGAGACAAAGAAGCAAAGAAGAAGAAGAACAAGGACGCACACGGCACGCCGCAUCGCCGCCUGCUCCGGCUCGUUCAAGACUCGGCCUCGCAGGGGGUUGGGGAGGGGGGUCACGACCCCCCUCCCCACCCCCUGGUCGGCCUCACGCUAACGCACGCGCAGUGCGGACAUUCAAUUUUUCGAACAAUAGGACGCACGCACCCCCAGAGCCACACCCCUAAGACAGACAGAGAAGCGACGGGGUGUGACGGACUUGCCUACGCAUGCGGUGUCGCGGCACGCCGCGUCGCCGCCUGCUCCGGCUCAUUCCAGGCCCGGCCUCGUAGGGGGUUGGGGAGGGGGGUCACGACCCCCCUCCCACCCACUGCUCGGCCUCGCGCUAACGCAUGCAGUGCGCUUGGUUGA